GCCAAAUAUCUAGCUUUCUUCCAAUCAUACUAAUUUUCUAUACUCAAUAUGCAAUAAAACAUUUUGUUAUUUUAGUAAAGGCGAUUAAAAAAAUUCUUAAAGCUUUAAAUUUAGUACCGUAAGGGAAUGAUGAAAUAUUAGUGAAACAACAUAAAGCACAAGAUAGUAGAAGUUAAAACUCGUACCUUUUGCAUCAUGGUCUAGCCAGUCCUAAUCAAGCAAAAAGAGGUUUUAGUUUGAUUCCCCGAAACUAGGUGAGCUACUUCAAAAUCGCCUUUAGGGCUAACCCGUCUCUGUAGCAAAAGAGUGGGAAAAUUUUCAAGUAGAAGUGAUAGACCUAACGAACCUAGAGAUAGCUGGUUAUUCAAGAAAAGAAUUUUAGUUCACCCUUAAGUCUCUUCAUGAUUAUCAACAUCCCCGCAGGCUUAAGAGUUAUUCAAAUAAGGCACAGCUUAUUUGAAACAGGAUACAACCUAGACACUAGGGUAAACCACUAAGAUCUAAUUAAGUUGGCCUAAAAGCAGCCACCUUUAAAAAAGCGUUAAAGCUUUAUUUUUUCUCCUAAAAAUUUAUUUAAUAAUUAUGAACCCAUCAUUACUAUUGAAUAAUUUCAUAAAUUAUGAAAGUUACCAUGCUAGAACUAGUAACAAGAAAAUGUAUUUCUCCAAAUUGUAAGCUUGAACCAAAAUGGACUCUCCACUGGUACUCAACGAUAAUGACCCCAAUAUUUUAACCACUCAAGAAAACUGAAUAACUUAUAUCGUUAACCUUACACUAGAACACUUCUGGAAAGAUUAAAAGGAAGAGAAGGAACUCGGCAAUAUUUAGUCCCGCCUGUUUACCAAAAACAUCGCCUCUUGCACACUAUAAGAGGUCCCGCCUGCCCAGUGAUUAAUUUAACGGCCGCGUGAUUUUAAGCGCGCAAAGGUAGCAAAAUCAUUUGUUCUUUAAAUGAGGACCAGUAUCAAUGGCACCACGAGGACUUCACUGUCUCCUUUUCCCAAUCAGUGAAACUAAUCUCCCUGUGAAAAAGCAGGGAUAAAGCUAUAAGACGAGAAGACCCCAUGGAGCUUUAAACUUUUUCAGCAACUUCCAGUAAAUUUUUACCUAUUAAUACUUAAGUUGUGCUUAAUAGUUUUAGGUUGGGGCGACCGCGGAGUAAAAUUUAACCUCCACGACAAAAGGAGAUUUCCUAAUCUAAGAAAGACAUUUCUAAGAAUCACUAACCUGAUGUUUCAUGACCCGACUAUCGAUCAACGAACCAAGUUACCCUGGGGAUAACAGCGCAAUCCAUUUAGAAAGCUCCUAUCGACAAAUGGGUUUACGACCUCGAUGUUGGAUCAGGAUACCCAAGUGGUGCAGCCGCUACUAAAGGUUUGUUUGUUCAACAAUUAAAAUC
Molecule: ribosomal RNA, 1399 nt
Filed under: Occidozyga lima
Lineage: Eukaryota; Metazoa; Chordata; Amphibia; Anura; Dicroglossidae
Description: partial 16S large subunit ribosomal RNA
Rfam family: Bacterial large subunit ribosomal RNA
Source: RNAcentral